This 424-nucleotide ribosomal RNA is filed under the name Bacteroides sp. RNAcentral's name for it is "bacterial SSU rRNA". It matches the Rfam family "Bacterial small subunit ribosomal RNA", at positions 355 to 776 of the family's 1533-position model. Lineage: Bacteria; Pseudomonadati; Bacteroidota; Bacteroidia; Bacteroidales; Bacteroidaceae. RNAcentral also lists the same sequence under 1 other name. The record is from RNAcentral.
UGAGGAAUAUUGGUCAAUGGACGAGAGUCUGAACCAGCCAAGUAGCGUGAAGGAUGACUGCCCUAUGGGUUGUAAACUUCUUUUAUACGGGAAUAAAGUGAGGCACGCGUGCCUUUUUGUAUGUACCGUAUGAAUAAGGAUCGGCUAACUCCGUGCCAGCAGCCGCGGUAAUACGGAGGAUCCGAGCGUUAUCCGGAUUUAUUGGGUUUAAAGGGAGCGUAGGCGGACGCUUAAGUCAGUUGUGAAAGUUUGCGGCUCAACCGUAAAAUUGCAGUUGAUACUGGGUGUCUUGAGUACAGUAGAGGCAGGCGGAAUUCGUGGUGUAGCGGUGAAAUGCUUAGAUAUCACGAAGAACUCCGAUUGCGAAGGCAGCCUGCUGGACUGUAACUGACGCUGAUGCUCGAAAGUGUGGGUAUCAAACAGG